GACUGGUAGCUCACUUGGUAGAGCGCUCCACCUGUAAUGGAGAGGUCCCGGGUUCGAUACCCGGACCAGGCG
This 72-nucleotide transfer RNA is filed under the name Ixodes scapularis (black-legged tick). It matches the Rfam family "tRNA". Rfam says of the family: Transfer RNA (tRNA) molecules are approximately 80 nucleotides in length. Their secondary structure includes four short double-helical elements and three loops (D, anti-codon, and T loops). The record is from Rfam by way of RNAcentral. Lineage: Eukaryota; Metazoa; Arthropoda; Arachnida; Ixodida; Ixodidae.